UCUCUCUCUCUCUCUCUCUCUCACACACACACACAGAGAGAGAGAGAGAAAGAGAGAGA
RNAcentral lists this microRNA precursor (59 nucleotides) under Podarcis lilfordi (Lilford's wall lizard). Lineage: Eukaryota; Metazoa; Chordata; Lepidosauria; Squamata; Lacertidae. The record is from RNAcentral.